GUCGUCGGGUGAGUGGCGCCAGGGAGGCUCUCGGGGCGGCGGGGGUUGAAGAAGGCAGUUGUGAAACGUCGGUUAAACAGGAGCUUGGCGCCCUUUGCCUUGAUUUCCACGGAUUACAACCUUGGAUUAGUCAGGUCUUCAGUUCAGUUUUCUUAGGUCUGGAAAGCCUUCUGAGCAAUCUUGAUUCAUGGUGACAGGAUCAGAAAGAGGGAGAUAAGAGUAGAGAUGCUGUGCUCUUGACUAAAACACCUUUUAAAAAGGCUUCCCUGGCACUUCUGCCGGCAGCAUGAGAGGAAACCAGAGUGAGCUUCUUAGCCAUCAGCCAAAGCAUGUGGAACUCGGUUGUAAAGAGAAGAAGAUCCUUAUGCUUAAAGUUGCAUUCCUCUCUUGCAUUGAUGGACCAAUUGGAGGAUAAGAUAGAGUGUCACAUGAGACUUAUCAGCUGGAACUGAAAUAGACUGAGCCAUACAGCUCCAAAUACGUAUGAAAAAGUACCUGUGGGUCUUGCCACUUCAGAAUCAGUGGUCUAUCCAUCUCAUCCAGGCCAUUUUGUGCUACUCAGUCGAAAGGUCCAUUCUUGGCCUUUUUUUCUGCACCCUUUGUCCUGAACUUGGGUUUUCAGAGAAACCAAAAAGGAAGCUGAAUUUCCACCAGAGAGAUGGCAUUGUAUGGGAUAGCCUGUAGAAAUGUGCCUGUGUCAAGUUAUCUGCUUGCUUAAAUGUCUCAUCAUUCCCCUUUUGUGGCCUUGUGCAGCCCUGUGAUGUAUGAAGAAGAUGCACCAAAAACUGAUGAACUGGGCAUAUCAACACCAACUGACUACUGUAAAGAUCUGAAAGAUCUAUAUCUCAUGGAGCAAGGGACAUGAUUUGCAUCUCUCUGCAUCCUUUUACAUUCUCUUGCACUCCCACAAGUGUAUAAAUAUGCUUUAUAACCUGAGGUUUUAAUAUUGCUCUGUACUGCAUCUGCAGCUCAUGCUAAAAUAAAAACCAGCUAGUCUUAAAGUUGCUACUGCAUUCUGUUUAUUCUUCCCCUUCUUUACUCUUAUAGGCAUUAGCUGUCAGGAGAUUUUCGCAUGGCUCCCCCCCCCCCCCAAUCUAGGCAUGGGCUGAGAUUGUAUAAAUGGAUGUUAUCACACAGCUCUGUGCCCAGACUGAAAGCAACCUGUACCCAAUCAGGACCUCUCCUGUACUUAGCAAUGAACGAAAAAGAACAAUUUUGCUAAGUACAGGAGAAGUCCUGAUUGGGUAUGGGAUGCCUCCGAUCUGGGCACAGACCUUUGUGACAGUCUCAGCCCAUGAUGGGGAGAAAACAGCUGGUGUGAUAAUCUCAAGGUUUACAAGUUUGACUGCAAAGUCAUUGUUGAGCCAACCAGCAGAGGGUGAUGUACCAUAAUGUUUCCUCCAUAACUGUCCAUGAAGAAAUUGUAAAAUAGAAGAGCAAACGCCUUGUCUUCUAAUCUGCACCUGGAGGCUUCUAGCAAACCUUGUUAAUAAUUCCAUUUCCAUGUUACAUUAUGUUCUCUCUCUGUUUUUAUGCAUGUGCCUUCUUGUCAUCUAUUGACUUCCAGCAACUACAGAAAUGGGUAUGAAAUCCCAGCACUAAGGUACUACAGGGGAAAGGGGAGGUAUAGACAUAAAGUAGGGGGUGGGCUGCAUUAAAGUAGUCACAGCUGUUUAUACAAAUCUCUAACUUUUGGCACUCUAAAUACAGUAUAUGAAACCAAAUUCUUUCUGAUGUAUGUUGGCAUCAUAACUUACAUUCACACCAGUAUAAAAUUAUUGUACAUGUGUACAAGUUUUAAAACCAUCUAAUAGCUGGAAAAAGCAGUGAAAACUUUAUAAAUCAAGAGUCAUGAUAGAACAUCCAAGCAGGAAAUUUGAUAUAUAGUGGGACCUUGGUAUCAGGGUUUGGUUCCAGGACCUUCUGUGGAUACUAAAAAUUAUAGAUGCUCAAGUCCUAUUAGAUAUAUAGUAAGGCAUAGUAAAAUGGUUCCCUUAUAUAAAAUGGUAAAAUCGAGGUUUGUUUUUCAGAGAUUAUAUAUUUGUGGGUGUGUUUAGUUUCUUUGAGACAUGGCUGGUUGAAUCUGUGGAUAUAGAAUCCAUGGAUAUGGAGGGCUGACUAUUGAAGCAGCUUUGUUAUUUCCUUCCACUGAAAUACAGCCUACACUACUUCAUAUUCAUUGGCUGUUUCCCAUCCAAGUAUUAAUCGGGGCUGACCCUACUUAGUUUCCAAGAUCAACAGGAUCUGGUGCCUUUAGGGCAUUUCAGCUCUUCUUAUUUGCUUUUCUCUCCAGAAGCACAUCUCCUUAUGAAGCCUGCCUGUUCUUUUACCUCCCACAGCUGUGUAAUCUCUGGGACAGAGCAGCUAUCCCUAUUUUGGAUUGUAGGGUUGAAAAUGCUCCCAUGCUUAAUGAUACUUGUGUUGCUGUUUUAUUUGUUCAUGUAUUUAAUGAAUUAAUCUGCCAGCUCUCUUAAGAGUGGUGUACCUAUUCCAGGGCCCCAGCUACUUUAAUUUAGCCUUGCAGAGGGCACAAACCUGUGACAUUGUUUUUGAGGCAAAAACAGACAGAUCUCACCUAAACAUUAGGAUGAACCUCUUGACUUGUUAAACAGGAUGAAUCCACUUGCCAGCUAGGAUGGUGUUUCUUUGAGGGGAGGAUGUGAUAACUGCCAUCUUUUCAGUUGUAUUUGCAGUUUGGUACAGUUUUGGGGUAGAAAAUUGCCCAAAUUUUAGGAAGAAUGUAUUGACCAUAAGAGUUGCUUGAGAGUGGAGAAGGCUGCCUCAGAGGGUGAUGGUCUCAUCUUUGCAAGUCUCUAAACAGAAGCUGGAUGUCCAUCUGUCCAGAGUGCUUUAGGUAUGCAUGGCAGCAGGUUGGAUUGGAUGGCUCUUCCAAAUCUUUUUGAGUUUCUAUGAGUCUAUGAAAUGGGCCACCAAACUUUGAAAAAAGAAACAAGUAGGGCAUCUUAGACAGCAAAAGGGAGGCGGACUCAAGAAGGGCAGGAUGCAACCCAUCGACCACAAUUGCCCUCCACAGUAGAAGCCCUCCUUUGACAGGUCUUUUCUCCAAUUUCCCACCAUAGCUGGUAAGAGCAGAAGGCCCAAAGAAAUCCUAGGCAGAUAGUUAGUCUGCCCUGCUGAAUCCGGCACUCCCAGCUGUCUCUCCUGGAGCCAUCUUGCUGUGCCCUUUUCUCAGAAAAAGGUAAAGGAGGAAUAAGGCAAUUCAGACUUUGUUCAGCAAAAGCCCAAUCCAGAGACCAAUGGGGUUGGAGUUAUGUAAUUCUGCACCUGCUGGGAGAAGAUAGAUCAGGUACUGUUGGUCAUUAUCCACAGUUAAAGAUCUUUUUCUUCUUCUUCUAGGAAACUGUUUUUAUUAACAUCCAUCCCGCCCUCUUUCUUUUCUCCUGGAACUUUAACCUGGAGAGUUUGAUCUUUGCACCAACUCCCAGUGUCUUGAAAUGGACAUCUCUAAUGCAUUGCCAUUUGCCAGAGUGAAGACCCCAAAGGGCUCCUGCACAUUUAAUGGUAACAAGCAACUCUUGGAAGAUUUUUGCAUUUUGAAGUCGAAGGCUUUAAUGGCCGGCAUCCAUAGUUUUUUGGGGAUUUUCAGGCUA
Molecule: long non-coding RNA, 3611 nt
Organism: Sceloporus undulatus (fence lizard)
Lineage: Eukaryota; Metazoa; Chordata; Lepidosauria; Squamata; Phrynosomatidae
Exons: 5
Source: RefSeq, a predicted model, not a curated record